This 25-nucleotide non-coding RNA is filed under the name Arabidopsis thaliana (thale cress). The record is from RNAcentral. Lineage: Eukaryota; Viridiplantae; Streptophyta; Magnoliopsida; Brassicales; Brassicaceae.
GCGGACAUGCAUCACCAGUGUUCCA